AUUGAACGCUGGCGGCAUGCCUAACACAUGCAAGUCGAACGGUAACGCGAAGAGCUUGCUCUUUGGCGACGAGUGGCGGACGGGUGAGUAAUACUUAGGAAUCUGCCCAGUAGUGGGGGACAACAUUCGGAAACGGAUGCUAAUACCGCAUACGCCCUACGGGGGAAAGCGGGGGAUCUUCGGACCUCGCGCUAUUGGAUGAGCCUAAGUCGGAUUAGCUUGUUGGUGAGGUAAAGGCUCACCAAGGCGACGAUCCGUAGCUGGUCUGAGAGGACGAUCAGCCACACUGGGACUGAGACACGGCCCAGACUCCUACGGGAGGCAGCAGUGGGGAAUAUUGGACAAUGGGCGCAAGCCUGAUCCAGCAAUGCCGCGUGUGUGAAGAAGGCCUGCGGGUUGUAAAGCACUUUCAGUAGAGAAGAAAAGCCUACGGUUAAUACCCGUGAGUCUUGACGUAACCUACAGAAGAAGCACCGGCUAACUCCGUG
This 488-nucleotide ribosomal RNA is filed under the name uncultured bacterium. Its description in RNAcentral is "bacterial SSU rRNA". It matches the Rfam family "Bacterial small subunit ribosomal RNA", at positions 30 to 507 of the family's 1533-position model. The record is from RNAcentral.